RNAcentral lists this ribosomal RNA (461 nucleotides) under uncultured bacterium. RNAcentral describes it as "partial 16S ribosomal RNA". It matches the Rfam family "Bacterial small subunit ribosomal RNA", at positions 338 to 795 of the family's 1533-position model. The record is from RNAcentral.
CCUACGGGGGGCUGCAGUGAGGAAUAUUGGUCAAUGGGCGCGAGCCUGAACCAGCCAAGUAGCGUGAAGGAUGACUGCCCUACGGGUUGUAAACUUCUUUUAUAAAGGAAUAAAGUGAGGCACGUGUGCCUUUUUGUAUGUACUUUAUGAAUAAGGAUCGGCUAACUCCGUGCCAGCAGCCGCGGUAAUACGGAGGAACCGAGCGUUAUGCGGGUUUAUUGGGUGUAAAGGGAGCGUAGAUGGGUUGUUAAGUCAGUUGUGAAAGUUUGCGGCUCAACCGUAAAAUUACAAUUGAUACUGGCAGCCUUGAGUACAGUGGAGGUAGGCGGAAUUCGUUGUGUAGCGGUGAAAUGCUUAGAUAUCACGAAGAACUCCGAUUGCGAAGGCAGCUUACUAAACUGCCACUGACAUUGAUGCUCGAAAGUGUGGGUAUCAAACAGGAUUAGAUACCCCUUGUAGUC